This 511-nucleotide long non-coding RNA is filed under the name Drosophila guanche. The record is from RNAcentral. Lineage: Eukaryota; Metazoa; Arthropoda; Insecta; Diptera; Drosophilidae.
GUGACUUUUAUAUUUAUUGUUCAGCGCUUAUAUCACUGGCACGAGUUCUUAAAAAUAUUUAUGAUGUGAGGAUUCUUAAAGUCAUUUAAAUAAUUAUCAGCGGACGCAAGUCGUCUUGAGUCUUCUUGACAGAUUUAAUAUACAGUAAAAGCCCAACAUUUGACAAUUUAUCGAGGAGCUGGGUAUGCUAUGUUGUGCACAUUACCGCAACGGAUUUAGAUUUUCCACAAUUUUAAAUUAUCUUCUGGUCGAUCGGAACAUCGAUCACGCUCUGAGUAGCAAGCACCUCAAGUGGCCCAUAAAUCAAGCACUCUAGCCGAUAUCAAAGGAAUGCACUGUCCCGAUGAAUUCAUCGGAUUAGGCUCUCUAAUUCGAGUAAUUAACCACUCAUCUAAUCAUCAUUGUGAGUUCGUAGCAAUAGUCUCCCAUCGUACUGCCCACAAUCAGCCAGAACGUCUAGCUCGUCUCCCAUUAAUCAGCCGGCGUGCUGUCCCACACGCAGAGAAUAAAU